This 570-nucleotide ribosomal RNA is filed under the name uncultured bacterium. RNAcentral describes it as "partial 16S ribosomal RNA". It matches the Rfam family "Bacterial small subunit ribosomal RNA", at positions 355 to 914 of the family's 1533-position model. The record is from RNAcentral.
UGGGGAAUUUUGGACAAUGGGCGAAAGCCUGAUCCAGCAAUGCCGCGUGUGUGAAGAAGGCCUUCGGGUUGUAAAGCACUUUUGUCCGGAAAGAAAUCCUUGGCUCUAAUACAGUCGGGGGAUGACGGUACCGGAAGAAUAAGCACCGGCUAACUACGUGCCAGCAGCCGCGGUAAUACGUAGGGUGCAAGCGUUANUCGGAAUUACUGGGCGUAAAGCGUGCGCAGGCGGUUUGCUAAGACCGAUGUGAAAUCCCCGGGCUCAACCUGGGAACUGCAUUGGUGACUGGCAGGCUAGAGUAUGGCAGAGGGGGGUAGAAUUCCACGUGUAGCAGUGAAAUGCGGUAGAGAUGUGGAGGAAUACCGAUGGCGAAGGCAGCCCCCUGGGCCAAUACUGACGCUCAUGCACGAAAAGCGUGGGGAGCAAAACAGGGAUUAGAUACCCUGGUAGUCCACGCCCUAAACGAUGUCAACUAGUUGUUGGGGAUUCAUUUCCUUAGUAACGUAGCUAACGCGUGAAGUUGACCGCCUGGGGAGUACGGUCGCAAGAUUAAAACUUAAAGGAAUUGAC